UCUUGCUCUGUUUUAAAAUUUCAACUAGAAAUCCAUUAGCUUAUUUAUUGAACGAAGUAGAAUGAAUGUUCUAAUGCAAUUUGGUUUGGUUUUAACAUUUCAUUUUCUUGAUUAAGUGUAAUAUAGUUGGGUGGGUUAAAUGCAAUAUUUUACAUUCCUUCUUUGAUGUGAAAGUGCCAAGUUGAAGUUUAUAUGAACUGUCACAAGUUUGACAACUAGAGAGAAGGGCUAGGGUAGUCCAAGCUGCUUUGAUGGCUUGAAGAGGAACCAAGGAACUUGUAUUGUAGCGCUUAAAUGUGAUGAAAAAUCCAUGAGUUAAUGCUCAGCCAGUGUAUUUGUAUAUAUAUAAAGGGAUGAGUACAAAUAUGUUUGAAAGUGGAAGGUUACAACCGAUGUUCCUUAACCUAAAGCUAGGUUCUCCCAAAAACAACUUUAUGUAAGCUUUAUGUAACAGCUUUAUGUAAACUGUAACGAACAUAAUUUUAAUACUCACACUCAAGCUAGAGCUUAUAAAUGGUAUGCACUAAGCUUGAAA
Long non-coding RNA from Vigna unguiculata (cowpea), 535 nucleotides. Lineage: Eukaryota; Viridiplantae; Streptophyta; Magnoliopsida; Fabales; Fabaceae. The record is from RefSeq and is a predicted model, not a curated record.